AGUGAACGCUGGCGGUAGGCCUAACACAUGCAAGUCGAACGGCAGCACAGUAAUAUCUUUCUCUUACGUUUUUCGAGUUGCGUACUGGUGAUUUAUACAUCGUAAUCUACUUUUUCUUGUGUGUUAACGUAGGUAAACUUACGCUAAUACCUCAUACGACCUACGUGUUUAAUCAUUGUAUCUUCUGACCUUGCUCGAUUGUAUUAGCCGAUGUCGGAUUAGCUAGUUGGCGGGGUAAAGGCCCACCAAGGCGACGAUCCGUAGCUGGUCUGAGAGGAUGAUCAGACACACUGGAACUGAGACACGGAAAAGAAGCCUACGGGAGGCAGCAGAGGGGAAUAUGGGACAAUGGGCGAAAGAAUGAUACAGAAAUACCGAGUGGGGGAAGAAGGCAUGAGGGUUGGAAAGCCAUUUUGUUGGGAAAGAAAAGAAGAAGGUUAAUACAAAGAUGUAAUGACGGUAAAAAAAGAAUAAGCACCGGCUAACUUCGUG
Molecule: ribosomal RNA, 492 nt
Filed under: uncultured bacterium
Lineage: Bacteria
Description: partial 16S ribosomal RNA
Rfam family: Bacterial small subunit ribosomal RNA
Source: RNAcentral